Molecule: ribosomal RNA, 296 nt
Filed under: uncultured bacterium
Lineage: Bacteria
Description: partial 16S ribosomal RNA
Rfam family: Bacterial small subunit ribosomal RNA
Source: RNAcentral
GUGCCAGCCGCCGCGGUAAUACAGAGACCUCAAGCGUUAUCCGGAAUCAUUGGGCGUAAAGCGUACCGAUAGGUGGCUAAGAAAGUCAGAAGUGAAAUCUUCAGGCUCAACCUGGAGAAUGUCUUUUGAAACUUCUUAGCUAGAGGGGCAAAGAGGAAGCUGGAACGAACGGUGUAGUAGUGAAAUGCGUUGAUAUCGUUCGGAACACCAAUAGCGUAGGCAGGCUUCUGGGUGCCACCUGACACUGCUAGGACGAAAGCGUGGGGAGCGAAUGGGAUUAGAUACCCGAGUAGUCC